Molecule: ribosomal RNA, 450 nt
Filed under: uncultured Desulfobulbus sp.
Lineage: Bacteria; Pseudomonadati; Thermodesulfobacteriota; Desulfobulbia; Desulfobulbales; Desulfobulbaceae
Description: bacterial SSU rRNA
Rfam family: Bacterial small subunit ribosomal RNA
Source: RNAcentral
AGUAUGUGGUUUAAUUCGAUGCAACGCGAAGAACCUUACCUGGUCUUGACAUCCCGGAGACCCUUAGGAACAGGGGGUGCUUCCAUCUGGAAGAAUCUGGAGACAGGUGCUGCAUGGCUGUCGUCAGCUCGUGUCGUGAGAUGUUGGGUUAAGUCCCGCAACGAGCGCAACCCUUGCCUUUAGUUGCCAGCAGUUCGGCUGGGCACUCUAAAGGGACUGCCGGUGUUAAACCGGAGGAAGGUGGGGAUGACGUCAAGUCCUCAUGGCCUUUAUGACCAGGGCUACACACGUACUACAAUGGCCGAUACAAAGGGCAGCGACACUGCGAGGUGAAGCCAAUCCCGUAAAAUCGGUCUCAGUCCGGAUUGGAGUCUGCAACUCGACUCCAUGAAGUUGGAAUCGCUAGUAAUCGUGGAUCAGCAUGCCACGGUGAAUACGUUCCCGGGCCUU